GGGUGUUACGGUACAGAGUCAAUGUGGAGGCUAUAUACAGGGUGUUACGGUACAGAAUCAAUGUGGAGGCUAUAUACAGGGUGUUACGGUACAGAAUCAAUGUGGAGGCUAUAUACAGGGUGUUACGGUACAGAGUCAAUGUGGAGGCUAUAUACAGGGUGUUACGGUACAGAAUCAAUGUGGAGGCUAUAUACAGGGUGUUACGGUACAGAAUCAAUGUGGAGGCUAUAUACAGGGUGUUACGGUACAGAAUCAAUGUGGAGGCUAUAUACAGGGUGUUACGGUACAGAAUCAAUGUGGAGGCUAUAUACAGGGUGUUAUGGUACAGAGUCAAUGUGGAGGCUAUAUACAGGGUGUUACGGUACAGAAUCAAUGUGGAGGCUAUAUACAGAGGGUACCGGUACAGAGUCAAUGUGGAGGCUAUAUACAGGGUGUUAUGGUACAGAAUCAAUGUGGAGGCUAUAUACAGGGUGUUACGGUACAGAAUCAAUGUGGAGGCUAUAUACAGGG
This is a long non-coding RNA of Oncorhynchus tshawytscha (Chinook salmon), 510 nucleotides long. The record is from Ensembl. NCBI's taxonomy places the organism in Eukaryota, Metazoa, Chordata, Actinopteri, Salmoniformes, Salmonidae.